Cygnus olor (mute swan) is the source of this 1368-nucleotide long non-coding RNA. RefSeq lists it as uncharacterized. The transcript has 3 exons. The record is from RefSeq and is a predicted model, not a curated record. NCBI's taxonomy places the organism in Eukaryota, Metazoa, Chordata, Aves, Anseriformes, Anatidae.
UUCACUAUAAAUUAUUUAAGUCCUUCUCAGCUGUUUGAAUGCUUGUUUCAGGUUAGGCUUUACAAGGAUUUGUUAAUUUGUUUCUAGUACUGCCAGAAUGCAUCAGGCCCCUUUCCAGCUAGAAGGAGACAUGCUGCUUGCUCCCCAGGCUGUAACGUGAAGAAUGUUUGCUUUUACUGCCCAUGAUUUCUUUCUGGCUGCUGCACCUCUGCUGAAAUUUUUGUGGCACAGAUGGUUCCCUGGUAAUUUGUGUGCACAUCCUUUCAGAAAUAUGUUCCUCCAGGAGAGCUUUUCUCUCAGCGACACCUGUGUGAUAGAGCCUGCGAGUUGUUGCUGUGACCUUUGUACGCGUUACUAUGAUAAGGAGCUCUUCUGGAGGAAAGCAGGCCUAGUGCUUUGGACACCCAGGGGCCUUUGGAAAAGCCUUCGGCCCAGCUACUCGGAGGGAGGCACGGUGCCGUUUGCAGCUGGACUCCACAGGCUGGAUAAUGUUUGCUAGGGUAAAUAUUUAGAAAUUAGGCACAGGAAUUCAGGAGUACAAAUAGACUAAAGUAUAUAGUUAUGGAAGGCGCUGUAUCGCUCAUUUUGAGGACUCGGUUACGGAGGCAUCUCCACCCAUGCCAGGACUACUGCGAGCUGAUUUCUAGAGGAGCAGAGGGCUCAGAUGAGGGAUGUGUGCCUCUCUCCCAUCUUCUCUGUGGAAAGUGUCAGGCUGUCGGAUGUCAGAAAAGGGGCUUUUGGUUUCCAAAAGGGGGAAUAGCAAACCGCUCUGAAGAAAGAGCAGCAGCAGACCUUACAAAGUGUUCCUGUGUCUUCAGACCAUCUUUUAAACACAACUGGGAAAAAAAAAGUUUAAAUAUUACUUUUUACAUAAGAAACAGACUAUAAAUUGUGCUUGUUCUUUAUUUUGGCACUGGGACUGCAUAUAGACCAUGUCAUAUUGCCUUCAUAAAUUAAUCCAAAACAAUUAGCUGCAAUUUACUUUCAAAUUUUGGUAACUCUAUUUUCCAUAUGUGUCCCCAGCUUCUAUUAGUAGGAAAAGUCUAGUUAUACAAACUCUAGUUUAUGAGAGGAAAAACUGAAUUAUGAAGACAUUUUUACUGGGAGUCUGAUGUGUUUGUUUACUUUCCUGGUCAAAUGAGUAGCAUGAAACUGGUCAUUUAAAAAUAAAACAGAACAGAAAAACACAAACAAACAAAGGAAGAACAGCGCUUGUUGCUUUUUUCAGUGUCCUUCUCGGAUUGUGCAUGUAAUAACACAUAAAACUAGGCAUAUUUCCAUAGCUGCCAUUCUAGAGUGAACAAAGCUUGUUAUUAGAUGUCUAGUCUAGUUUGUCUGAUUUAAAUUUCAGUCGGGGGGAUGAGUGCA